UGGAAGCAUUGCCGCGGGAAUUCAUCGCGUAGGGGCGGGACUUCCGGCCUCCUCCUUGUGGUGGCCAUUUUGCCGUUCUCGGGCGUGCCGGGGCGGAACUGAAGUGACGGAACUGUCAAGGCUCAGGAGUUGUCCCCACGGCUGAGAGGCGGGUCGGCGGCUCGGCAACGCCGCAGCCCGAGCUGUCCCGUGGCGGUGUCCGCUCCUCUCCCUUCCUCUCCGGGCUACGCUCUGUCCACAGAGUCCAAUGGCGGCGGCCGCGCCCGGGGACCCGGCUCAGGAUAGCGUGACCUUUGAGGAUGUCGCUGUGUACUUCUCCUGGGAGGAGUGGAGGCUCCUUGAGGAGACUCAGAGAUGCCUGUACCACAAUGUGAUGCUGGAGAACUUUGCACUUAUAUCCUCACUGGGAACCUAACAUCAAGAACUCAACUCUUGUACCUACCUGUGUUCUUUGAAGAAUGCAAGCUGCGUGAAGACGAUAUGUCUCUUAUGUCCCAAGGUCUCCCAUUCACUGACAAUACUACCUGAAGCAGCAGUUGCUCAAUGAACAUUUGUUAAACCUGUGAAUAAACAGGACACCUCAACUUUGUGUUCAUUUUUACAAAUCUGGCUGUUGUAAAUAUCCACUUCAACUCUCCUUCCACCUUGGUAUUGCUUAAUGUUUUUGAGAAUAAAAGCCCUGAUAAAAAUUC
Suricata suricatta (meerkat) is the source of this 692-nucleotide long non-coding RNA. RefSeq lists it as uncharacterized. The transcript is spliced from 4 exons. The record is from RefSeq and is a predicted model, not a curated record. Lineage: Eukaryota; Metazoa; Chordata; Mammalia; Carnivora; Herpestidae.